This is a transfer RNA of 83 nucleotides. It matches the Rfam family "tRNA". From Rfam's summary of the family: Transfer RNA (tRNA) molecules are approximately 80 nucleotides in length. Their secondary structure includes four short double-helical elements and three loops (D, anti-codon, and T loops). The record is from Rfam.
AGCUACCUGGCGCAAUGGUAGCGCGUCUGGCUUUGAUUGCUGAGUAUGCCAAAGGGUUGUAGAUUCGAGUCCUGCGGUGGUAG